UACGUAGGGGGCAAGCGUUAUCCGGAUUCAUUGGGCGUAAAGCGCGCGCAGGCGGGCCGCUAGGCGGGACCUCUAAUCUUGGGGCUCAACCUCAAGCCGGGUCCCGAACUGGCAGCCUCGAGUGCGGUAGGGGUAAGCGGAAUUCCCGGUGUAGCGGUGGAAUGCGCAGAUAUCGGGAAGAACACCGAUGGCGAAGGCAGCUUACUGGGCCGACACUGACGCUGAGGCGCGAAAGCUAGGGGAGCGAACAGG
This 252-nucleotide ribosomal RNA is filed under the name uncultured bacterium. RNAcentral describes it as "partial 16S ribosomal RNA". It matches the Rfam family "Bacterial small subunit ribosomal RNA", at positions 524 to 776 of the family's 1533-position model. The record is from RNAcentral.